Triticum aestivum (bread wheat) is the source of this 3824-nucleotide RNA transcript. RefSeq lists it as uncharacterized. The record is from RefSeq and is a predicted model, not a curated record. Lineage: Eukaryota; Viridiplantae; Streptophyta; Magnoliopsida; Poales; Poaceae. The transcript has 6 exons.
CGUACUCGCACCCCACUCCACCCCACGCCACGCACAAUCCCCUCACCGCCGCCCCUCUCCGGAUCGCCGCCACCGCCACCGCCGCUCGCCGCCGCCGUCUGGAUCACCGCCGCCGCCGCCGUCUCUCCGGAUCGCUGCUCCCACCGCCGCCGUCGCCGUCGUCUCUCCGGAUCAUCGGCCCCGCCGCCGCCGCCGUCUGGAUCGCUGCUGCCGUAUCUCCGGAUCGCAGCCACUGCCACCGUCUGGAUCACCGCCGCCGUCACACAGAAGACAGUGCAGGAGCUGCUGCCGCCGCCCGCCCCCAUCUCCUCCCCUGAUCCAACUAAACAUCCCGUAAACUAAAAAAGAGGGUGAUUGGUUAGGAUGCUGCAACAGCUAAUAAGAUGGGAAGACAACUCACUUUGCCCCUCCUCCAAGCACAUCAGCGACUCUUCGAUCUGCUUCUCUCCCUCGCAAGAUAUGGGAUUCUUAUAUACCAUUGCUGCAUCAUGUUGCACACAUGCAAUUCUAUUGUUUUGUGUAAGAGCCAUUGACUUUUGUGGAGAAGUUCGCAUCACGAUGGAAUUCUGCUGUCAAGGUCGCCAUGUCGGCGAGCUCAUUGGCGUCGUACUGCCCCAACAGGAGCGCCAUCGGGUCGGCGGCGCUGCUGGCGGCUGCAACCAUGGAUGAUGGAAAUUGUGAGUCCUGCAAAAUCUGUACGUGGGUUAGGAUAACAGGUUGAGCCAUCUGUUCCUCUAUAGUCAAACGCUUGAUUGGGAUGUUCUAUCCAUGAUGGGAUCAGAUUCAUGAAACUCGACCUGUUGAAGAAGUUUCAGUCCAGCUUCACUCACCGCCUUUCAUUGUCAUCGAGACAACCGACAUUGCUCAGAACGCCGCAUCCCCGGCCUACUCUCUCUUCACCCGUCAAUGCUCAUGUGCUCCGACCCUCCCCGACCCGUCCCAGCAAGCAGCAGAGUCUCUUGUUCGAGCUCCACCGGGCCGGCGGUGGCGACGUCCAUGUUCGUUGGGCGGAGCACAACGCUAGGGUUGAAAUCCACCAUGCUGCUACUGAUGAGGCUCUCCUCCUUUGUCCACCGGUUAUCAGACAACUGCGUAUGAGACGUCCACCGUCGUACACUCAUUUGAUCGUGCUGAUGCGCCUGGCUGUGGGAUGGCUUCUGCUGGGAUGCUCCGAGAUUUCACAAAUCCAUUAUGACGAAAUAGGGUGGCCGCCCGCUUUAUUUCAUGAAUCCAUUAUCGCCUACAGAAUAACGUCCUGGCCCUCCCAGUUUGAGUGAUUCUCUAUAUUUUGCUAUAUCUCAACUAUACAUGCAUUGUUUAUGUUCGCCGGCCCGCGCCCCCGUGUCUCCUCACGUUAAUGUGGCUGCUGGCCGCGGGACUGACGAGGAAGUCAUGGUGGAGCGGUGGUGCUGGCUGUGGCCUACCAGGAUACCAUAAGUUCUCCCUUGUUCUUUUGUGUUUGAAUCAGAUUUAGUGGUUCUUGAUUUUACAGGCAUGCAUCGAUCUUGCUCAUGUUUUGUAUGUAGGAUACACUUAAUGUUUUAUGGGAUGUUCUGCAGAUUUUUAGAACACUAAGGGCAUAUCUUGGCUUGAAUGCUGCUGGGUCGAUGAAGGUCAUGCAACAUGGCAGGUGAGUGCUCCUCUCCCCUUUCCCUCUAUGCUAAAAAUUAGUUCCAAUUUCCAUGCAAGUUCGCCAAUUUAGAUCUAGAGGUAAAGGUUCUGUACGAGGUUAGUUAGGAGGGUCUUGCUGGUGACUACUUGAACUCAAGUUGGACAACAUAUGCAAUGUCCAAUUCAGCGAGAUAUCAUGACUCGAUUUCACUUUCAUUCCACAGCUGAGAUCAUAAUUUGAUUGAUAUUUUGCAUCUUUUAUAGAUAUAGAUUGAUAACAUUUAAUGAUGUUAUAGGAUAUAUAUAAUAAUUAGAAAAAGAGACACCACAUGUCUUAUGGAUCAAAACUGAUACUUGCUCAUGCUGGCAUCUCAAGGAAUUUUAAAUUCCAAAUACAGGUGUGCAUGUGUCCACUUGGAAGCUACUUGUUCGUGAGUUGUUCGAGACGAAAACCCAGUCUAUAUGAUGGACUGCUCUCCUAUUUUUUUUAUGUGUGUGCCUGCUCCGUGCUCUUUUGUUCCCAGCAGGCUAUUGUGUUGAUCCGUGGGGAUUUCUUUUUACCCUGCCAUUGGUUUUCUCUGUAAAACGCAGGUGUUCCCAAUACUUUUCUUUUAUAAAACAGCUGGGCUGUCAUAGCCUUUUCUCUGAAAGCGUUGAUUGUUAAACUACUAAAAUGUCUUCUGUAGGUUUUGCUUACUCGUGGCUGUAUGUUGGCUUCGUGCUGGUGGGCUAUAGUUCUCCUGUCACAAAUCAUGGAGACAUUCAUCCUCGCAGAUUUCUGCUCCUGCUAUGUGAAAAGGGCAAUCCACAACAUGAAUAUACAUGUAGCAAUGGUGUGCCCUUGGAACGUCCUGCAGUAAGCCCUCUAAAAGAAUCCUUAUGAAGUGUUCCUAGAGUUUGGUGGAUAUGACCGGAGUGAUAUUUUCAUAAGGAAGUCCAAGGCACAAGUAUGUAUCACCCUAAGACGAAUUUCUAAUCAUCUUAGUACAGAUUCUGAGCAAGAAACAUCUUAAAGUAAAUCAUGUGCUGCUAUGUACGUCAUGAUGCUUCCUCCUGUUCAUCCAGGGGCUAUAAAUGUUAAGGAUUGCCUGACUGCGACAACUAUUGGGUUCCGUCUCACCAUGCAGUGUCGCAAUAAGGCCAUUGAUCCAGUGUAGUUGUUGGGCAUGCACAUUGUGGAAUGGUUGUAGCAACUUGCUGGACUGCGGAUCAGGCCAUUCCCUUCCUCAGCAGAGCAGUCGGGCAAUUUUUGGACUACAGAAUUAGUCCCGAGAGAUGAAGUAAGAGCCGUAGUUGAUCAUGUUGUCCAAACAAGGCUUGAUCCAACAAACAGAAUGACUUGAUUAAUUGGGCUUAUAAGUUGGUUGCAUCAACUGAUAGAUGCACUAAUGUAUGUAAGUGAAAUUAUCUCCUUGAGUCAUGAUUGGCAUAUUUCCUUGCUUGAUGAAGGUUCCAUCUCUACAUAAUAGUUUUCUAUGCAUAUGAAACUGCUCUAUAUAGACAAAAGGUGGACGACUAAAAAUCCAGUGGCCGUUACUCCGUUGUGGACAUGGGAGUCGUCUGAAUUUUGUCGUCCAUAUAGCAAGGUUCUUAUGCAUAUCCUGUCAAGUAAAUUUUUUCAUGAAAAUAUGAGGUGGGCCGUGGGCAUCAAUCUUUCGCAGGUUCAGGGUUGAAAAUGUCGACAACUUUGUAUGGUUGAAGGAUAUUCCAAGAUUUCCCACUCUCGCAAGAAAACAACUUGGCUCACUUAUGAUAAGAUGUUCUGGUGUUAAGUUUCUCCUCUUUUAUGGACCAAGAAGAUGAAUUAUUUUGACAACAUCAACUGCAUUUGUACUGACAGAGCAUUUGUUAGCUGACAGAGCAUUUGUUGUGAUGGUGUUGGAAGCGUCGUGUAUGGCAAAGGUAGAUCCCGUUGUAGUGCAGAGCAGAGUUAGCACCAUUCAAGUCCAUUAUUGAAUGUGUGGAUAUUACCAAAUGAUGUAUGUCUCAUUUUCAUAUUAAAGUGUGGCUUCUAUUGCAAAAAAAGCUUGCGGCAAAGCCGAGGAGAUGGAUUGCAAGGGGGAGAGAAGAUGUUUUCAUAGAUUAAUUUUUGUAAGAAAAGUAGUGUGUAUAUACUCUCUCUGUGAUUUAACUUUGACCACCAAACUUAAUUAAUGAUAUAUGUGUUAUGUGUCAUAAAAUUAUACCAUUGGAGUUUUUUGUAAUACGAAUUU